This 497-nucleotide ribosomal RNA is filed under the name uncultured bacterium. RNAcentral's name for it is "partial 16S ribosomal RNA". It matches the Rfam family "Bacterial small subunit ribosomal RNA", at positions 28 to 507 of the family's 1533-position model. The record is from RNAcentral.
GAUGAACGCUGGCGGCGUGCCUAAUACAUGCAAGUCGAGCGAACGGACGAGAAGCUUGCUUCUCUGAUGUUAGCGGCGGACGGGUGAGUAACACGUGGAUAACCUACCUAUAAGACUGGGAUAACUUCGGGAAACCGUAGCUAAUACCGGAUAAUAUUUUGAACCGCAUGGUUCAAAAGUGAAAGACGGUCUUGCUGUCACUUAUAGAUGGAUCCGCGCUGCAUUAGCUAGUUGGUGAGGUAACGGCUUACCACGGCAACGAUGCAUAGCCGACCUGAGUGGGUGAUCGGCCACACUGGAACUGAGACACGGUCCAGACUCCUACGGGAGGCAGCAGUAGGGAAUCUUCCGCAAUGGGCGAAAGCCUGACGGAGCAACGCCGCGUGAGUGAUGAAGGUCUUCGGAUCGUAAAACUCUGUUAUUAGGGAAGAACAUAUGUGUAAGUAACUGUGCACAUCUUGACGGUACCUAAUCAGAAAGCCACGGCUAACUACGUG